RNAcentral lists this transfer RNA (62 nucleotides) under Bovicola ovis (sheep biting louse). RNAcentral describes it as "tRNA-Ile". The record is from RNAcentral. Lineage: Eukaryota; Metazoa; Arthropoda; Insecta; Psocodea; Bovicoliidae.
CAUAUUAUGUCCGAUAAAGGAGCUAUCUUGAUGUGAUAGACAUGCUAAAUUAGCUAAUAUGA